ACUCCUGCGGGAGGCAGCAGUGGGGAAUUUUGGACAAUGGGCGAAAGCCUGAUCCAGCAAUGCCGCGUGAGUGAAGAAGGCCUUCGGGUUGUAAAGCUCUUUUGUCAGGGAAGAAACGGUGAAAGCUAAUAUCUUUUGCUAAUGACGGUACCUGAAGAAUAAGCACCGGCUAACUACGUGCCAGCAGCCGCGGUAAUACGUAGGGUGCAAGCGUUAAUCGGAAUUACUGGGCGUAAAGCGUGCGCAGGCGGUUUUGUAAGUCUGAUGUGAAAUCCCCGGGCUCAACCUGGGAAUUGCAUUGGAGACUGCAAGGCUAGAAUCUGGCAGAGGGGGGUAGAAUUCCACGUGUAGCAGUGAAAUGCGUAGAUAUGUGGAGGAACACCGAUGGCGAAGGCAGCCCCCUGGGUCAAGAUUGACGCUCAUGCACGAAAGCGUGGGGAGCAAACAGGAUUAGAAACCCCAGUAGUCCCAUGA
RNAcentral lists this ribosomal RNA (474 nucleotides) under uncultured organism. Its description in RNAcentral is "partial 16S ribosomal RNA". It matches the Rfam family "Bacterial small subunit ribosomal RNA", at positions 335 to 800 of the family's 1533-position model. The record is from RNAcentral.